This is a non-coding RNA of Cinara cedri, 388 nucleotides long. The record is from the annotation of a GenBank genome assembly. Lineage: Eukaryota; Metazoa; Arthropoda; Insecta; Hemiptera; Aphididae.
AAUGAUAUGCGUUAUCAUAUAGUACCAUAAUUAAAAUGCAAAUAAAACACGUAAGUUAAUUUGUAUUCAAUAUAAAUAGGGGGAAGGGAAUAUAAAACAAAACGUAUAAACGUAGUUGAAAGUUUUAACUAAAUAAACAUAUUGUGAGACGCGCUGCCGUCUUUUUUUUUAAAUUUCAUUAGACUAUCAGUUGAUUUUAAUAUGAAAAUAUUUAACCAAUAAAUUAAUAUACGUGAUUUUGUGCCGUCUAUUUCAAUUCUAUUAAGUCUCGUUAGUCGAGACCUCUAAAAGCAGAUAGGCCGCGGUAGCUAACGUCACGACGUGCGACAGCGGCAAAUACUAUUAGACAUGAUAAUAUAACAAUACAAUUUCUGUCUCGUAAAAGCGG